Molecule: long non-coding RNA, 245 nt
Filed under: Elaeis guineensis (African oil palm)
Lineage: Eukaryota; Viridiplantae; Streptophyta; Magnoliopsida; Arecales; Arecaceae
Description: long non-coding RNA (EGUI_LNC072795)
Source: RNAcentral
AUAAAGUGUAGAGACUAGAUGCUGAAAGUGUUCAGCAUAGAAAUCUCAGAGAGAGGUCUGCUACCCUCUUGGACAUAGAUGUAUACCAUGUAAUGUACUUAAACUGAUAUAGUUAAUACUGUGAAUGUCACGAGUAGAUAUCAGUUGUAUCCAGGUUGAGAGUGCUAGAUUACUGUGAAAACAUCCUUAAGUAUUUGAGAAGAACUAAAGAUUUAUUCUUAAUUUGGAGAACGAUCAAAGCUAAG